AGAGUUUGAUCAUGGCUCAGAUUGAACGCUGGCGGCAGGCCUAACACAUGCAAGUCGAGCGGAUGACGGGAGCUUGCUCCUGAAUUCAGCGGCGGACGGGUGAGUAAUGCCUAGGAAUCUGCCUGGUAGUGGGGGACAACGUUUCGAAAGGAACGCUAAUACCGCAUACGUCCUACGGGAGAAAGCAGGGGACCUUCGGGCCUUGCGCUAUCAGAUGAGCCUAGGUCGGAUUAGCUAGUUGGUGAGGUAAUGGCUCACCAAGGCGACGAUCCGUAACUGGUCUGAGAGGAUGAUCAGUCACACUGGAACUGAGACACGGUCCAGACUCCUACGGGAGGCAGCAGUGGGGAAUAUUGGACAAUGGGCGAAAGCCUGAUCCAGCCAUGCCGCGUGUGUGAAGAAGGUCUUCGGAUUGUAAAGCACUUUAAGUUGGGGGGAAGGGCAUUAACCUAAUACGUUAGUGUUUUGACGUUACCGACAGAAUAAGCACCGGCUAACUCUGUGCCAGCAGCCGCGGUA
Molecule: ribosomal RNA, 519 nt
Filed under: uncultured Pseudomonadota bacterium
Lineage: Bacteria; Pseudomonadati; Pseudomonadota
Description: bacterial SSU rRNA
Rfam family: Bacterial small subunit ribosomal RNA
Source: RNAcentral